Molecule: transfer RNA, 68 nt
Filed under: Spondylus violaceus
Lineage: Eukaryota; Metazoa; Mollusca; Bivalvia; Pectinida; Spondylidae
Description: tRNA-Ile
Source: RNAcentral
CGCGUUGAGCCGGGUUAACGGGUUAUCUUGAUGUGGUAAAGUUCGGAGGUGGAAUCCUUCCAAUGCGG